This 400-nucleotide ribosomal RNA is filed under the name uncultured bacterium. RNAcentral's name for it is "bacterial SSU rRNA". It matches the Rfam family "Bacterial small subunit ribosomal RNA", at positions 358 to 773 of the family's 1533-position model. The record is from RNAcentral.
GGAAUUUUUCGCAAUGGGGAAAACCCUGACGAAGCAACGCCGCGUGGAGGAUGAAGGCCCUCGGGUCGUAAACUCCUGUCCUCGGGGACGAAUUCAUGACGGUACCCGGGGAGGAAGCCCCGGCUAACUCCGUGCCAGCAGCCGCGGUAAUACGGGGGGGGCGAGCGUUGUUCGGAAUUACUGGGCGUAAAGGGCGCGUAGGCGGCCUGAGAAGUUCUGGGUGAAAGUCCUCGGCUCAACCGGGGAAUUGCCUGGAAAACCAUCGGGCUGGAGUGCUGGAGAGGCCGGCGGAAUUCCUGGUGUAGCGGUGAAAUGCGUAGAUAUCAGGAGGAACACCCGAGGCGAAGGCGGCCGGCUGGACAGACACUGACGCUGAGGCGCGAAAGCCAGGGGAGCAAAC